UACGAAGGGGGCGAGCGUUGUUCGGAAUUACUGGGCGUAAAGGGCGCGUAGGCGGCUCUAGCAGUCAGGCGUGAAAGCCCCGGGCUUAACCUGGGAAUUGCGUUUGAUACUCUAGUGGCUUGAGUUCGGGAGAGGUGAGUGGAAUUCCCAGUGUAGAGGUGAAAUUCGUAGAUAUUGGGAAGAACACCAGUGGCGAAGGCGGCUCACUGGACCGAUACUGACGCUGAGGCGCGAAAGCGUGGGGAGCAAACAGG
RNAcentral lists this ribosomal RNA (254 nucleotides) under uncultured prokaryote. RNAcentral describes it as "partial 16S ribosomal RNA". It matches the Rfam family "Bacterial small subunit ribosomal RNA", at positions 524 to 776 of the family's 1533-position model. The record is from RNAcentral.